GUAUAUUAGCUUGAUGAUUACAUCAUUAAUAAUGGCCACAGUCUUGUAAACUGCGGAAAAGUUUGAGAGCUGUGAGCGGGAAAGUGGCAACUGAAGCUGAAUGUAAACUUAAAUAGUUUCAGAACCGGACAUAGAUCUUAGUAAUGACAACUAAUGAUUAAUAGUUAUGAGUUAGGCUAUGAAUAUAA
Long non-coding RNA from Amphimedon queenslandica, 188 nucleotides. RefSeq lists it as uncharacterized. The transcript is spliced from 2 exons. The record is from RefSeq and is a predicted model, not a curated record. Lineage: Eukaryota; Metazoa; Porifera; Demospongiae; Haplosclerida; Niphatidae.